AGAUGAGUGUGGUGUAGUGGUUUGAACAUUGGAGUACGACUCUGGAGACCAGGGUUCAAAUCCCUGCUCAGCCA
Molecule: transfer RNA, 74 nt
Filed under: Phrynosoma platyrhinos (Desert horned lizard)
Lineage: Eukaryota; Metazoa; Chordata; Lepidosauria; Squamata; Phrynosomatidae
Description: tRNA-OTHER
Source: RNAcentral